GGGAAGGUGGCGGAAUUGGUAGACGCGCUAGCUUCAGGUGUUAGUGUUCUUACGGACGUGGGGGUUCAAGUCCCCCCCCUCGCACCA
This 87-nucleotide transfer RNA is filed under the name Salmonella enterica subsp. enterica serovar Anatum. RNAcentral describes it as "tRNA-Leu". It matches the Rfam family "tRNA". From Rfam's summary of the family: Transfer RNA (tRNA) molecules are approximately 80 nucleotides in length. Their secondary structure includes four short double-helical elements and three loops (D, anti-codon, and T loops). Further hydrogen bonds mediate the characteristic L-shaped molecular structure. tRNAs have two regions of fundamental functional importance: the anti-codon, which is responsible for specific mRNA codon recognition, and the 3' end, to which the tRNAs corresponding amino acid is attached (by aminoacyl-tRNA synthetases). tRNAs cope with the degeneracy of the genetic code in two manners: having more than one tRNA (with a specific anti-codon) for a particular amino acid; and 'wobble' base-pairing, i.e. permitting non-standard base-pairing at the 3rd anti-codon position. The record is from RNAcentral. Lineage: Bacteria; Pseudomonadati; Pseudomonadota; Gammaproteobacteria; Enterobacterales; Enterobacteriaceae.